Molecule: long non-coding RNA, 3329 nt
Filed under: Monomorium pharaonis (pharaoh ant)
Lineage: Eukaryota; Metazoa; Arthropoda; Insecta; Hymenoptera; Formicidae
Description: uncharacterized LOC118646241
Source: RNAcentral
CCGUUUGUUACUGUGUCCGUUUUACUCAGCUUACUGUGUCCGUUUAUUACUGUGCGCAUCUGGGACUCACUCAUAAUCUCGCGGAAAUAAUCAAAGUCCGAAAUUCACAAUUUUAUUUUACACUCAAACGGCUAAGUCCGGAGUAUGAUCUUGCGGAAAUAAUCAAAGUCCGAAAUUCACGAUUUUAUUUUACACUCAAACGGCUAAAUCCGGAGUAUGAUCUCGUGGAAAUAAUCAAAGUCCGAAAUUCACGAUUUUAUUUUACACUCAAACGGCUAAGUCCGGAAUCCCAAUUUUUUCAAUUCUUACGAAACUAAUCUAAGUCCGAAAAAUAAUUUUCUAUCAGCGACUUACUAUGUACUUUUGGCAGAAUUGAGAAGGCAAAUCUGGGUUUCGCCCGAAAAUCUCGCCUUAUAUACCCCAAAAUGAAGGUAAUUGGGGGUGAAGAGCUAUGAGCGGCGGGUCGUAAAUCUACCUGACGCCUGUCAAUUAUUUCUGCAAUUAGUUAAUUUUUGUAUUUGAUUUUACUUUCGUCAGAUGGGAUCUUGUUCCCGCGCUCAUAUUCUCCACUUGCGCGGCGCGUGACUUUCGCCCGCUCUUUUUAAUUGACCGAAUUCUUAAUUCUCGUUUUUCAUCAUGGACUUCGGGAUACGAGACUUUGCGACCACGGAGGUUCCGCGUGCUCCUCCUCGCGCCCGAAGUCCGUUGAAGUCAUUUAUCGUUAAUUAAGGACGUUCGGACACCGCUGUCCCGCGCCGAACACUUCCGCACGAUUGCGGGUGCACAGCCACACGCAACAGUAGAGCCCUGCCCCUUUUCUAAUGAAUUAUUAUUGAAUUAAUUUGUUAUUAACUUACGCAGUUUAUAUUAACAGUCUGGGGCUGAGGCGCCUCAGAAUGAAUCUGUAAAAGAAGGGGGGGGGGGUGUUACGUCCGAUAUUUUGGUGUGGAUGGAUGGUAAGGGACAAGAUAGAUGAUGUUGAUUUUACCCUGCAAGAGGGAAUAAGAAAGAAAAAAAAAUUUGAUGUUAACUUAUGUACAUUUUAUUUAUUCUGGAGCCUAUCUUCACCGUACACAGCUUCCAAGCUUGCCUUUCUGGUGAAGACUUAUGGGCUACAGUAUAUCCGGGGGGGGGGGAGAACAAUAGAUGCACGGUCCCGCGAAGAGAUUCGUUUCGCGAUAUCUGGCACUUUGGUCUAGUGGCGAGUGCUUGGGGAGGUUUUACUUGGCACCGGACGGGUACUGGUCGCGCCCGAAUCCUCGUCAGAGCGAUGUUGAAAGCUCGCGGUUUUGCGAGUUGUCUUUGGGAGGUUUUUGUAAUCUUUUUUGGAGGGGGUAGCGUGAAUGGGCCCGGUGAAAGAGGGUCCCCGUAGAUUGUGUCUGCAGCGUCCGGAAACGGAGUUCGAUCGAAGAUCGACGGGUCGAACUCCCCGAAAGAGUAAUACUCUUUUUUUAGGCGUUUUAGGUACGCCCUCCAUCCGCCUUUAUUUUUGCCCAUGAUCUUUCUAAAAAUGCGGUAGCCAUGUUAAUUUCCUUGAUGGAUCGCGGUAGGGAAGUUAUCUUAAUGUGAGCGUAAGGUUAUUUUUAUAAUGAUUUUUAGCUGUAAGAAGUUUUGAUGUAAGGCGAGGAAAUUUUUAAGGGGGGAAGGGAAUAGGGCUGCGUGAACAGUAAGGUGGCUUAGAUCGACCGUGCACGGUGCCGAUGAAAGGGGGGUGGGGUAAGGAAUUACAACAGUAACGCGCCUCAAACAGGCCAAGCGCGAUACUAAAUGGCGAAGAAACGGAAGAAUUUGUGAUAGUAAUGUGCCUCAGACAGGCCAAGCAUACUAUAAGUAAGGGAUCUUUUAAUAGUAGGGCGGCUCUGUUAGGUCAAGCGGUGUACUGUUCAAUAAGGAAUGAGAAUGGAAGAAUUGGUUCCUCCCCUUUUUUUAUAAUUUUUUUUGGUAGCGUGCCUCUGACAGGCCAAGCACGGCAUCGUAAAUGAAAGAUGGGAGAAUGAUAUGGAGAAGAAAUGAGAAUUUCCAGAGAUCUUGCCGAAGUCGAGUAUAAUUUUUGAUCCUUCUUACAGUUAUACUUACAACGCUGUAUGUGAUUUCGCUGUAAAAUCUUUCUGUGUGAUCUGUUUAGUCAGAGUAACUUCUGCCAGACUAUCGGAUUAAGACUAGUCGAAUUUCACCAAAUUUCGCUCGCUUAUAUAUCAUUAGGUUGGUGGUGGUGCGGCGAGGGGAUAGCAAAAUUCGGGGAAAUUAGGGUGGUAAAUCGUGGAGUAAUUUGUUGAUUAUUUCCGAAAUUGUUAAUACUAUUAUUUAAAGAAAUCAUCUGUAAUAAGUUAUUUUAACUUGCUAUCAAUAUUCUUUUGUCGCCUUGUUCCUAUUUUUAUUAAUUUAGGAAUUAUUAAUUCGCCCUUUUUUCACUAUAGAGAUUUAUAAGACUUUCCGUAGCGCAUGCUGGUUCCUCUCUGUUAAUAGUAUGAAUGAAGUUGUGCCUAAAUUGCGAGAUUUCGUUUAUUAAUAUUAAGAUUAGGAAAAAGGCGAACUGUAUUUUGAAGCAUAUCUUAUUUUGACCAUCAUUAAGUAAAGAAAAGGUUUAACUAAUUUAAUCUAUUGUUUAGUUGAUACUUUUGUUGUUUAGAUUUUUACAUGUGUUUUAUUCAGAAUUGUAUUUUGAUAGCAAUUGUGUGAAUAAAUUCGACUCCAGGAUUUAUCCCUUUUUUUGAUGUCCUCUUAAUCCGCGUGAUUACAAUCAAAUUAUAAUAUUAAUAAUGCUAGAUUGAUUUUGAACAUGUGAGCGCGUCACGCUUGCGCCGCGUGGACGAUGUGCGGACCGCGUGAUUGAGCGCGCGCGCUUGAUCAGCUGAUCGCGAAAUGAAUUUAGUGUCUCUAAUUUUUCGUAUGCGCACAGCGCGAUUGUCAGGUGGAUGUUAAGUUUUCUUGUGGUUCAUCUUCUUGCACGCUGCCCGAGUGGCGCGACGGGGGAGGAGAAUUUCACGGGCGGCCAGAAAAGAAAAGAAAUUUUCUGUGCCGGACGUAACAGGGGAGUCGCCUUCCUUUGGAGAUUUUACGCUUUCUUCGAUAAUUUGCCGGUAAUUAAUGUUUUAGAUUAAGCAUGCGUGCCAUCUGUAUGGACCGCAUGCUUACGGCGCGUGAUACCCUGGGCCCGGCGGCGCGUGAACGUCAGCGCCUAGCCACCAGGCAAUACGAUUUUUCGCGCGAUGCUCUGUAUGAUCGUAACGGACGGCGCGAAUGAUUUAGCCGGACGUAACACAUGUAAUAACGAUGAAAAAACUUAAUAAAUAUUUUUUAAAUUUAAUAUCUCUUUUAUUAAUGUAAAA